Molecule: ribosomal RNA, 253 nt
Filed under: uncultured bacterium
Lineage: Bacteria
Description: partial 16S ribosomal RNA
Rfam family: Bacterial small subunit ribosomal RNA
Source: RNAcentral
UACGUAGGGAGUUAGCGUUGUCCGGAAUUACUGGGUGUAAAGGGCGCGUAGGCGGGAUUGCAAGUCAGGCGUGAAAUACCGGAGCUCAACUCCGGGGCUGCGUUUGAAACUGCAGUUCUUGAGUGCCGGAGAGGCAGGCGGUAUUCCUAGUGUAGCGGUGAAAUGCGUAGAUAUUAGGAGGAACACCAGUGGCGAAGGCGGCCUGCUGGACGGUAACUGACGCUGAGGCGCGAAAGCGUGGGGAGCAAACAGG